UGGGGAAUUUUGGACAACGGGGGAAACCCUGAUCCAGCCAUCCCGCGUGUGCGAUGAAGGCCUUCGGGUUGUAAAGCACUUUUGGCAGGAAAGAAACGUCAUGGGUUAAUACCCCGUGAAACUGACGGUACCUGCAGAAUAAGCACCGGCUAACUACGUGCCAGCAGCCGCGGUAAUACGUAGGGUGCAAGCGUUAAUCGGAAUUACUGGGCGUAAAGCGUGCGCAGGCGGUUCGGAAAGAAAGAUGUGAAAUCCCAGAGCUCAACUUUGGAACUGCAUUUUUAACUACCGGGCUAGAGUGUGUCAGAGGGAGGUGGAAUUCCGCGUGUAGCAGUGAAAUGCGUAGAUAUGCGGAGGAACACCGGUGGCGAAGGCAGCCUCCUGGGAUAACACUGACGCUCAUGCACGAAAGCGUGGGGAGCAAACAGG
RNAcentral lists this ribosomal RNA (429 nucleotides) under Acidobacteriota bacterium. RNAcentral's name for it is "Acidobacteria bacterium partial 16S ribosomal RNA". It matches the Rfam family "Bacterial small subunit ribosomal RNA", at positions 355 to 776 of the family's 1533-position model. Lineage: Bacteria; Pseudomonadati; Acidobacteriota. The record is from RNAcentral.